GACGAACGCUGGCGGCGUGCUUAACACAUGCAAGUCGAACGGAAAGGCCCUGCUUUUGUGGGGUGCUCGAGUGGCGAACGGGGGAGUAACACGUGAGUAACCUGCCCCUAACUUUCGGAUAUCUUCUGGAAACUGGGGCUCAUACCGGAUAGGAUCUCCUGCUCCAUGGGGGGGGUUGGAAAGUUUCGGCGGUGGGGGAUGGACUCGCGGCUUAUCCGCUAGUUGGUCUGGUAGUGGCUGACGAAGGCUUUGACGGGUAGCCGGCCUGAGAGGGUAGACGGCGACAUGGGGACUACGAUACGGACCAGACUCCUACGGGAGGCAGCAGUGGGGAGUAUGGCAGAAUGGGCGGAAGCCAGAUGCAGCAACGUCGCGUGCGGGAUGACGGCCUUCGGGGGGUAAACCGCUUUCGCAUGUGACGAAGCGUGAGUGACGGUAAUGGGUAAAGAAGCACCGGCUAACUACGUG
Molecule: ribosomal RNA, 468 nt
Filed under: uncultured bacterium
Lineage: Bacteria
Description: partial 16S ribosomal RNA
Rfam family: Bacterial small subunit ribosomal RNA
Source: RNAcentral